UCAACAGCAAUGACGAUUUUAAAUAGCUUCAUAAUAAUAAGCAGUCAUCUGUAUAUGAAGGGCUCUGCUGCGACUGCGAGGGCAGCAACAGCGCCUCCCUAGAGCAUGCGAUGUCCGAAAAGCGCAACGACACAUUGUAGUCGAAAUACCCCAGCUCGAGGGGGCCCCCCUUUCCCAUGCAUUAGCGCGACAGCGUCAAGUGCAAGUGAAAAGUGAAAAAUUAAAAUGAAGCGAAAUUAUCUCUCCGGCAAUCAAAAAAAGAAGAAGAAAAGGGAAGAGGAGCAGAAAAGAAAACAAGACACCGGGGCAUUGCUGAAAUUUCUUCAUCCCGCUCUACCAAGUGUUGUCUCUGGUGCUACUGAAGGGCCAUCAACAUCGUCUUCGUCACAUGUUUAUGAGGAGG
This is a long non-coding RNA of Eleginops maclovinus (Patagonian blennie), 403 nucleotides long. RefSeq lists it as uncharacterized. Lineage: Eukaryota; Metazoa; Chordata; Actinopteri; Perciformes; Eleginopidae. The transcript has 3 exons. The record is from RefSeq and is a predicted model, not a curated record.